UGCCAAAUUGAAACAUAACCCUCAACGCAGCCACCUUGAGACUUGGCGCUGCAGCACUAUUGAAGGACCCCGCAACACUGGGUGAUUUUACAACAGCGCACUGGGAAACUACAAAUCUGGAUUAAAUAUUAGAGGAGAAACCCUUAAAGCCUUCACUGUUUCCAGUGAGACUUCAAAUUGGAUGAGGGGACUGUAUGUAGCAGGACCGAUUUCUGGACUUUGGAAAAUUUCAUUCAGGAUUCCCAAGCCUGUGACAGCUUUCAUAAAAUACCGACCCCUUGCUACCUGUGCCACCAGCUAUCAGAUAACAGUAAGGCAGAGGCUUACUCGAUCCGUGAGAUUUCUCCUCACUUCUUGA
RNAcentral lists this long non-coding RNA (358 nucleotides) under Struthio camelus australis. RNAcentral describes it as "lncRNA (ENSSCUG00000006688.1)". The record is from RNAcentral. Lineage: Eukaryota; Metazoa; Chordata; Aves; Struthioniformes; Struthionidae.